Molecule: long non-coding RNA, 1086 nt
Organism: Olea europaea var. sylvestris
Lineage: Eukaryota; Viridiplantae; Streptophyta; Magnoliopsida; Lamiales; Oleaceae
Exons: 2
Source: RefSeq, a predicted model, not a curated record
CAAUUGUUUAAUGAUAAGUUUACAACAGUGUAUUUGAUAUUUAAGAAUGUAUCGUCUAUUUCUAAAGUUUAGUAAAUAUCGGAUGUAAAAUAUGAGUUAAGAUUAUUAGUGCAAUUAAUGAGAGCUCGUCUUAAUAUAGUUGUAAGGAUAUCGAUAUAGGAAAGGUCAAGAAAAAUCCAAGGACAAGAAAGAAUAAAUUCUGUGCAGUUAAAUUAGUGUGCUAGUUAAAUUGUGAGAAGGCAAUCAGUAGAAGAGACAUCACGGGAAUAUGAAGAUCAGGUAUGCUUUGAGCUCUAUAUAUUUAUGUAUUUGAAUUCUAGUUCAUUGAAUUUUGAGGACGAAAUUCUUUUAAUGAGGCAAGAUUGUUACAACUCAUUAUAAUAAGUCAAAACUCAAAAGUUGAAUUGUCAAAGUCAAAGUCAAAGUCAAAAGGGACUAAAAUGAAAUAAUUCAUUUUAAUUGGGACUUAAUUUAUUGUGACGAAUAUUUUGAAGGUUUAAGUUGGACAACAUAAAAAAUUUGGGAUCUAAUUAUAUAUUUUGGAAGUUUAGGAUUUAACUUUAUAUUAUAUUAUAGAAGAGGGACUUCCUUUGCAAUUUAAGUUAGUGUCCCCUUUAUUUUAUUACCAUUAAACCCAUUUUACACUAAAAACACACACAUGCACACAGUAGAAUUCGGGCAGAAGCUGGGAAGGAGGAAAAAUGGGGAAGGAAAGGAAGAAAAAAAGGGAAAAGAAAAAAAAAAGGGGGAAGAUAAGUUAAGUCCUCGAUUUUCUCCUCAAUUUUUCAAGAAAGCAGACGAAUUGAGCAGCUUUGGAGCCUGUCGAAGCACCGAAUUGAGUCACGCGCCAUAGGUUAUAUGACAUCAUUUAUGAGAUUAUACAUUAUGUGUUCUUAUGGGAUACAUAUAGUUUAAAUCAGAAAAGUUCAUCAUGGACUCAUUAAAUAUUUGGUAUCUUUAGUAUAUUUGAGGAUUGUUGGUUGUAAAGCAAGUGAAUAUUGAUUUUCCAGCAUUUUAUUUGAAUAGGCUGUAUUUCGAGGGGCUGGCGUACCCUGAUUUAUAUUAUAGGUAUUGAUUUGAGGAAAA